UCAAGCAACAGGCCAACUAAGCCACACGACGUGUAGACAAAAAGCAAAGUUCUCAGCUUGCCAGGAAAAAGGCCAGUGGUUAGACUGUGGAUUCACUGAGGUAAUGUCAUCCCAAGAAGCCUCUUAAGAAACAAACAGCUCAUCCAUGAGCCCCACACAUAAUCAAGACGGGGAAGAAAAAGAAGUUUAAUUGGACUUACAGUUCCACAUGGCUGGGGAGGCCUAGGAAUAAUCGCAGGAGGCAAAAGACACUUCUUACAUGGUGGUGGCAAGAGAAAAUGAAGAAGCAAAAGCAGAAAUUCCUGGCUCUGCAAGGAGAUGAGCAGGCGAGGAGACAAGUAGACAGACGGCAGAACAACACAGCAGAGAAAGAGAGAAGAGGAGGGAC
Long non-coding RNA from Gorilla gorilla gorilla (western lowland gorilla), 388 nucleotides. RefSeq lists it as uncharacterized. The record is from RefSeq and is a predicted model, not a curated record. NCBI's taxonomy places the organism in Eukaryota, Metazoa, Chordata, Mammalia, Primates, Hominidae. The transcript has 3 exons.